GACUCAAGGCUCACCUCAGGUGAUCAAUCAGAGGUUCAUGCCGUGACUCAGCAGUUCCCAUACACAAAUCUAAAUGUCAAUUGUCAGAACAGGCUUAUCUACUUAUUUCACUAGGAAAAGAUUUUCUAAGUAUUAAAGUUUUCCAUUGCACUUCUAUUAAAAACAGUUCUAUCAAUCGGGUACAAAUGCACUCACUCAUAAACUUCUUAAGGGAUAAAUCCUCUGUUUGAAUAAUUACAAAUGAAAAGAUAAAUCCUGAAAUUCAGUUGUAGUGUAAGAAGUUUUCUCUGUGGGACAAGAUGUUGUAAAUGACAAAAGAAAAACUGAAGGAUUGGCACAGCGAUGUAAUUUCCAUGGAGAAAGUAAACCUAUGCAGCAGUCAUUUCUUACAAUUGAACUCAUCUUGUUUGGAUUUUUAAUUCCCAUUGUAACUCUGUGUUAACUUUCUUUUGACAGAGUGAAUUGUUUUCAAGAAGAAAAAAGAUGAAAUAAACCACUUGAUCCCAAAGUGAAGAGUGGACCCAUCACAGCCACUGCAGUAAACAAUUAGAGAAGCAGAAAAGAAGUGGAAUUGACCUCUGAAGUGCUGUGCCCAAAGAACAGCCUUUAAGGAGAAACAAACCAGGAUGAGCAGCAGCAUCUCCUCAGGACAAAACGCACAUCCAUCCAAAGGAGUAAUGGGUCUGUUGCAAGCCAAGUAUGAAGCUAACAGUAGGGGAAAUGUUGAACAUAAGAUCUGGAAGCUGCUUUAGUCCAGAAAUGUUGACAUAAUGAGAUUGAGGUAAUUUUAAAAUCUUACAAUGUUUCAAAAAAAAAAAUUUUUUUUUUGAAAUAACAAAAAGUGCCUGGCAUUUGUCAUUAGA
This is a long non-coding RNA of Lagopus leucura (white-tailed ptarmigan), 863 nucleotides long. RefSeq lists it as uncharacterized. The record is from RefSeq and is a predicted model, not a curated record. The transcript is spliced from 3 exons. Lineage: Eukaryota; Metazoa; Chordata; Aves; Galliformes; Phasianidae.